Molecule: ribosomal RNA, 700 nt
Filed under: Microbacterium sp.
Lineage: Bacteria; Bacillati; Actinomycetota; Actinomycetes; Micrococcales; Microbacteriaceae
Description: bacterial SSU rRNA
Rfam family: Bacterial small subunit ribosomal RNA
Source: RNAcentral
AUGCAGUCGAACGGUGAACACGGAGCUUGCUCUGUGGGAUCAGUGGCGAACGGGUGAGUAACACGUGAGCAACCUGCCCCUGACUCUGGGAUAAGCGCUGGAAACGGCGUCUAAUACUGGAUAUGUGACGUGACCGCAUGGUCUGCGUCUGGAAAGAAUUUCGGUUGGGGAUGGGCUCGCGGCCUAUCAGCUUGUUGGUGAGGUAAUGGCUCACCAAGGCGUCGACGGGUAGCCGGCCUGAGAGGGUGACCGGCCACACUGGGACUGAGACACGGCCCAGACUCCUACGGGAGGCAGCAGUGGGGAAUAUUGCACAAUGGGCGCAAGCCUGAUGCAGCAACGCCGCGUGAGGGAUGACGGCCUUCGGGUUGUAAACCUCUUUUAGCAGGGAAGAAGCGAAAGUGACGGUACCUGCAGAAAAAGCGCCGGCUAACUACGUGCCAACAGCCGCGGUAAUACGUAGGGCGCAAGCGUUAUCCGGAAUUAUUGGGCGUAAAGAGCUCUUAGGCGGUUUGUCGCGUCUGCUGUGAAAUCCCGAGGCUCAACCUCGGGCCUGCAGUGGGUACGGGCAGACUAGAGUGCGGUAGGGGAGAUUGGAAUUCCUGGGUGUAGCGGUGGAAUGCGCAGAUAUCAGGAGGAACACCGAUGGCGAAGCAGAUCUCUGGGCCGUAACUGACGCUUAGGAGCGAAAGGGUGGGGA